Long non-coding RNA from Sarcophilus harrisii (Tasmanian devil), 465 nucleotides. RefSeq lists it as uncharacterized. The record is from RefSeq and is a predicted model, not a curated record. The transcript is spliced from 3 exons. NCBI's taxonomy places the organism in Eukaryota, Metazoa, Chordata, Mammalia, Dasyuromorphia, Dasyuridae.
AUUCCUCAAGACUCAGUUCACACGUCGCUUCCUUCACUGUGUUCCUUAUUCCUUCUUGAAGAUGAGGAGACUUGAGGGUCCCAAGUCCAUGCUGAAUGAGGAUCAGAUGGAAGAAUUGGGGGUAUAUAAACAGGAGAAGAGGAGACUCCGAGGAGACAUAUCUGAUGGGCUGUUAUAUGAAAGAGAAGGAAGAAUGGAAGAGAAGCCGGUGCCCUCCUUGGGGCUAUUGACAGCAGCUGCUGCCUCCCUGAUUAUAUAGCAUCUGGAUUUGAUACAAAAUGGUGCCUGCUAUGAGUCUUUCAGAACAGAGGUGUCAAAACACAUGGAGUGAAGAGCCAGAGAAAAAUGUGAUUGGGAAAUAUCUAACAAAAUUAAUAAAAUGGAAUAUAAGUGAUCUUACUAUGUGGUUUUCCAAGUCAAUAUGUGGCCUAUAGGAAUUCUUUUCAAUGGUUUAGUGGCCCCCAA